UUGAACAUGAGGCUUCUGGAGGUGCAGUGGUGUGGAGGUGCAGGCUUCUGGAGUGACAAGGAAGAUCCAGCGGCAGCACUGCCGAGGGCCUCAUGCAUCUUGCUGGUUAUGCCAUCCCCAAGGAGGGAAUACAAUUCAUCCAUGAACAUUAAGCACCUGAGGGCGUUUUCAUUACACUGGAAGAAGUAAAAUGCAGGGUUAAUUGAGCGUUUUAGGUUCACAUUUCUUGGCUUAGAGCUCUUUCACAAAUCCUUGCAGGCUGUGUAACUUGGGGAAAUCAUUUAACCUACCUGUGCCUCAGUUUUCUUAUCUGUAAAAGCGGGAAGUAGUGGUAAUUAUAACGUUGAAAUGAAAUAAUUCACUUGGCAUGCUUAGCACCAUGCAUGGUACAGCAUGGGUGCCCAGUAGAUGUUAGUAUUAAGCAAGUUACUUAACACCUGUGCCUCAGUUUCCUCCUCUGUAGAGUGGUAUUGACAGUAGCUUCUACCUCAGAAGGAUGUUGGUGAAGCUUAAAUGAGUUAGUUUGCAGAAAGCACAUGGCUUGGACCUAGCACACAGCAACCACCGUGUAAGCAGCUGCUGCUGUUUGUGCUACAAGUGUCAGGAAAUGUUCACAUAAUACCAGAUAUCUAGUAGAAUACCCAGGCUGUUCAAAAAUUCACAUCCUCACACACACACACAGGUGAGAAGAUAUGUAUCAAAGUAACCAUCUCUGAGUAGAAAGAGUAUAAGCAAUUUUUGUUUUUUGUACUUUUUUAUAUUCUUCCAACAUUCAUUUUCAACAAUGAAUCCAUUACUGUAAUAAUUUAAAAAGCAAACAGCUAUCCUAGACUUGAAACAUUUUUCAAGUCAGCCCGGCCCAUGGUUAAUCAAAACUGUUGAGUCCCCUGAACUUCCUUCCAGUUAAUGGUUUUUCCCUAUUACAUGGCCCUAGUCUCUGAUCAUUCAUGGGUAGUAGCUUAAUAUUUCUGCACAUUAUGUUCUUCAGAUACUUUCCUUUGGUUGCAUUAGAACUGUGAUUCUGAACUCUCCCCGCAUGCUAGAGUCAUUUGGGAGAUUUUGAAAUAUACUGGCUCCUCAUUAGACCAAUUAAAUCCAAAUAUUUGGAGAUGGGCCCUGAGCUUUGGUAUUUUUUAAAGGCUCACAAGGAAAUCCUAAUGUGUGGCCCAGUAGUGAACAACACCCUGCAUUUGAUACUACCAUUUCCUGCCUUGCAGAGAGUUUCACCCCAUGAACAGGGCUCCCCUCUUCCUCUAGACAAUCUCAAUGUAAGCCCUAGCAGUGUUUCCCAAAAUUGAGGAUAAGAAUCCUCUGAAAUGCUUGUUAAAAAUACAGAUGGAGCCGGGCGCGGUGGCUCACGCCUGUAAUCCCAGCACUUUGGGAGGCCGAGGCGGGCGGAUCACGAGGUCAGGAGAUCGAGACCAUCCCGGCUAAAACAGUGAAACCCCGUCUCUACUAAAAAUACAAAAAAUUAGCCGGGCGUAGUGGCGGGCGCCUGUAGUCCCAGCUACUUGGGAGGCUGAGGCAGGAGAAUGGCGUGAACACGGGAGGCGGAGCUUGCAGUGAGCCGAGAUCCCACCACUGCACUCCAGCCUGGGCGACAGAGCAAGACUCCGUCUCAAAAAAAAAAAAAAAAAAAAAAUACAGAUGGGGCUGGGCGCAGUGGCUCACUCCUCUAAUCCCAGCACUUUGGGAGGCCGAGGUGGGCGGAAGACUUGAGGUCAGGAGUUGGAGACCAGCCUGGCCAGCAUAGUGAAACCUCGUCUCUACUAAAAAUACAAAAAUUAGCCGGGUGUGGUGGCAGGUGCCUGUAAUCCCAGCUACUCGGGAGGCUGAGGCACAAGAAUUGCUUGCACCCAGGAGGCGGAGGUGGCAAUGAGCCGAGAUUGUGCCACUGCACUCCAGCCUGGGCGAAAGCGAGACUCAGUCUCAAAAAAAAAAAAAAAAAAAAAAAUACAGAUGGGCCAGGCAUGGUGCUUCAUGUCUGUAAUCCCAACACAUGAGGAGGCGGAGGUGGGAGGAUUUCUUGAGGCCAGGAGAUCAAGGCCAGACUGGACAACACAGCAAAACCCCAUCUCUACAAAAACAUCUUAAAAAUUAGCAAGACAUGAUGGAGUGCCUGUAGUCAGUCCCAGCUACUUGGGAGGCUGAAGUAGGAGUUUGAGGCUGCAGUGAGCCAUGAUUACACCACUGCACCUAGCCUGGGUGAUAGAGUGAGACCCUGUCUCAAAAAUAAAUAUAUAAAUAA
This 2248-nucleotide long non-coding RNA is filed under the name Homo sapiens (human). RNAcentral's name for it is "non-protein coding lnc-MTPAP-4:1". Lineage: Eukaryota; Metazoa; Chordata; Mammalia; Primates; Hominidae. The record is from RNAcentral.